This 598-nucleotide unclassified non-coding RNA is filed under the name Arabidopsis thaliana (thale cress). Lineage: Eukaryota; Viridiplantae; Streptophyta; Magnoliopsida; Brassicales; Brassicaceae. The record is from RNAcentral.
GAAAAGAAGGUAAGGGUUAGAGAGAACUAGAAAGAGAGAGAAAAAAGGUUUACAGGCACAAAGGAGGCUUCUCUCAGACGAAACGAAUAAAGAACAAAAAAAAAAGCUGAGAAGAAUCCAUAAAAGGUGACAAAAGCAAGAAGGAGAAGCAAACAUGUAUCCAUAUCUUGUCUUCUGAUUCACACACAAGAAAAGAAUGGAGGGUAUUGAUCAGCAUUACUGCAACAAUGGUAGUGGGUUUCAAGAAGAGCAUUUUCUUUAGAGAAGAAGAAAAAAUAGUUUCAUAACUCUUCAAUGUCGUUGAUCAGAUUCAUUUCUAUGUCUUUAAUGUAAUAAUCUCAUUAAACAAAAAAUAGUGUGACGGUUUGGGAAGUAGUGAUAUUGGCGGAAAGGCUCAAUCUCCUUGUCACAUUAUUAAAUCACUUUCUUUGUUUUCUUCUCUUUAAUUUUAAUUUAGAGGUAUGAUUUCUUACUUCAUGUAUUUAGUUAUAUAACUUGUUUUACAUCUUGCUGAAAACAAAAUUUAUUAACUACUUAAACUGUGAGCUUUUUCAUAUUUACUUUCCAUCAAUUAUGCAAGAAUUUGGCUGGAAAAUGC